UCGAGUUGACAGAGACCAAGCAGCACAGAGCCCAUCUAGAAAUACAGAAACAGCUCCCUGGGUUCAAAUGAGUGAAUCACAGGUGGGUGGUGUUUUCCCAAGUGGUGGGAAAGCUGAGCCACCAACCAGGGUCAGUGAGGGAAACUAGGAAUUAGCACCAGUGAGGAGCUGGUGACACCCUGAGGCUAAAAGGGCAACUGAAGGAAGUGACCAGAGCCCAGAAGCCAUGGUCACCCUGCUGAGCUGGACUUCAGCGGCCUUGUGUAGCAGGAAGUGGAGUCACCCAGCUGAUCUUCAUCUUGAAGACGCCACAAAAGCCAGAGGAACGAGAGCGGCCUCUGACCCCUGUCUCUGCGGACUCUUCAGUGCCUCUCUCUGCUAAAACAGCUGAAAGCUGGCAGACUGUGAACCUGAAGGGGUUCCCAGCAGCCCACCUGUCACCACUACCUCACUCUCUAUACUUCUCUCCCCUGGCAACUGAGGGAGCCAGGAAGAGGGGCAAAGGAACUGCUCCCUCUCCCCCUCCCUCAGGCAGGCAGCCUCCUGCUUCCUUAGCGCUGGUUCUGAGUUUGGUAGAAUGCUGAUUCCACCCGCUGUGGCCUCUCUGUUUCCUAUUCUGCUUUCCUCACCAGAGUGCAUGGUUUCAGAGCAGCGAACCGUGAAUGGCCUCGUUCAUUUUGGUGUCUUCAGUAACUGCAGAAGGAAAUACCACUGAACCCGACAACUGAAAUUGAUUGUCUCUGCGGUGCUCCCUACAGGAUGAAAACUAGAUUUUCUGUCAACGUUGUCCGUGAGGGCAAGUGGGUAUGCGCCACAGCGUAUGUGCGGGAGUCGGAGGACAAGCCCGGGGAAGACUGCCGCUGUCAGCGUGGGGCAGCUUUCUUCGCAGUGGUCAGCAGAGAGAGACUCAUGAGCACUGAGAAUAAGGCCCAUCCAUAAACGGAGCGUCCGUACCACACCGUUCAAAGCUCACGAAACCCUGCGGGAGUGGAAAGAAUGUAAGAACUGGAGGAAAUGGGGAGUGGUGAGGAAUGCUGACUUCCGGGCGUGAGGUGUGAUGGCGAAUCUUGGUUGUCAACAUGACUGGAUCUGGAAUGAACUAAAAGGCAAACUGCUAGGCUCACCUGUAACAAAUUAUCUUUUUCUCUUCCUUUUCUCUUCCUUCCUUCCUUCGUUCCCUUCUUUCUCUCUUUCUUCUUUCUUCCUUCCUUCUCUCCUUAUCUUUUUACUUUCUCUCCUCUUCCUCCUCACCUUUCUUCUCCUUUGUAACAGAUUUUCUUGAUCAGAUCAUUGACAUGAAAAAAAUCCACCCUAAGCAUGGGUGGCACUUUUUGUGGCAGCCUAGACGAAACGAUAUGGAAAAAAGAAAUUUUGCCUUCUGCUUGCUGGUAAUUCUUCUAUCUUACUGCUGUGGCAUUCCUUCACUGACAUUAGAAGCAACCCCUUAGGGCUUCCACCAUAAAAAGCAACAGCUCUCCAGGAUUCCUCAGGCCUUCAGCACUGGAUUGAGACCUCAGAGACACCCAGAGAACCCUGACUAAUACAACACGGCUCUAGCACUCUCAAACCCAUGGCAGCUGUGAUUCCUCACACAAGACUGGGCCCGUCAACACCCUGUCUGCCAUGGAAAGGGGGCGGGCCUCACAGGACUCCACGCCUUUCUGAGGAUUUUCAUACACAAUUGAUGGUUGAUAUGGGAGGGGCGUUUUCCUCAGUUGUGGGGCCACAGAUAAGGUGUCCCUGAUCCUGUCAACAAACUCCUCCAGGGAGUCCUGUAACCAGCCUUAAGGAAACUCGUGGGGCCACCAAAAUUUUAUUUUAUUUAUUAUUUAUUACUCAGUGUGUAUGUGUGUGUGUGUGUGUGUGUGUGUGUGUGUGUGUGUGUGUGUACAUGCAAUGUGUAUGUAUACGUGGGCAUGUUCAUGCCACUCCACUCUUACGGAGGUAAGAAGACCACUCUGGAGAAUCAGAUCUCUCCUUCCACCAGGGAUGAAACUCAGAGCAUCAGGCUUGCUCUUCCACCCACGGAGCUACCUUCCUGCCCCA
Non-coding RNA from Peromyscus maniculatus bairdii (prairie deer mouse), 2046 nucleotides. The record is from RefSeq and is a predicted model, not a curated record. Lineage: Eukaryota; Metazoa; Chordata; Mammalia; Rodentia; Cricetidae.